GAUGAACGCUGGCGGCGUGCCUAAUACAUGCAAGUCGAGCGAACAGACGAGGAGCUUGCUCCUCUGACGUUAGCGGCGGACGGGUGAGUAACACGUGUAUAACCUACCUAUAAGACUGGGAUAACUUCGGGAAACCGGAGCUAAUACCGGAUAAUAUAUUGAACCGCAUGGUUCAAUAGUGAAAGACGGUUUUGCGGUCACUUAUCGAUGGAUCCGCGCCGCAUUAGCUAGUUGGUAAGGUAACGGCUUACCAAGGCGACGAUGCGUAGCCGACCGGAGAGGGUGAUCGGCCACACGGGAGCGGGGACACGGUCCAGGCUCCUACGGGAGGGCGCAGUAGGGAAUCUGCCGCAAUGGGCGAAAGCCUGACGGAGCGAGGCGGCGUGAGAGAUGACGGUGUUCGGAUCGUAAAAAUCUGUUAUUAGGGAAGAACAAAUGUGUAAGUAACUAUGCACGUCUUGACGGUACCUAGUCAGAAAGCCACGGCUAACUACGUG
RNAcentral lists this ribosomal RNA (497 nucleotides) under uncultured bacterium. RNAcentral's name for it is "partial 16S ribosomal RNA". It matches the Rfam family "Bacterial small subunit ribosomal RNA", at positions 28 to 507 of the family's 1533-position model. The record is from RNAcentral.